AACGAACGCUGGCGGCAGGCUUAACACAUGCAAGUCGAGCGCCUCGCCAGAGGAGCGGCAGACGGGUGAGUAACGCGUGGGAACGUACCCUUAUCUUCGGAAUAGCUCUGGGAAACUGGAAGUAAUACCGAAUGUGCCCUUAGGGGGAAAGAUUUAUCGGAUAAGGAUCGGCCCGCGUUGGAUUAGCUAGUUGGUGGGGUAAAGGCCUACCAAGGCGACGAUCCAUAGCUGGUCUGAGAGGAUGAUCAGCCACAUUGGGACUGAGACACGGCCCAAACUCCUACGGGAAGCAGCAGUGGGGAAUAUUGGACAAUGGGCGCAAGCCUGAUCCAGCCAUGCCGCGUGAGUGAUGAAGGCCUUAGGGUUGUAAAGCUCUUUCACCGGAGAAGAUAAUGACGGUAUCCGGAGAAGAAGCCCCGGCUAACUUCGUG
RNAcentral lists this ribosomal RNA (431 nucleotides) under uncultured bacterium. Its description in RNAcentral is "partial 16S ribosomal RNA". It matches the Rfam family "Bacterial small subunit ribosomal RNA", at positions 29 to 507 of the family's 1533-position model. The record is from RNAcentral.